GGAUCCAGACUUUGAUUAUGGCUCAGGAUGAACGCUAGCUACAGGCUUAACACAUGCAAGUCGAGGGGCAGCGGUAUCGGAAGCUUGCUUUCGGUAGCCGGCGACCGGCGCACGGGUGAGUAACGCGUAUCGAACCUGCCUCAUACUCGGGAAUAGCCUUGCGAAAGUAAGAUUAAUGCCCGGUGUUCUCAGAGUCCCGCAUGAGGCUUUGAACAAAGAUUUAUCGGUAUGAGAUGGCGAUGCGUCCCAUUAGCUUGUUGGCGGGGUAACGGCCCACCAAGGCAUCGAUGGGUAGGGGUUCUGAGAGGAAGGUCCCCCACAUUGGAACUGAGACACGGUCCAAACUCCUACGGGAGGCAGCAGUGAGGAAUAUUGGUCAAUGGGCGGAAGCCUGAACCAGCCAAGUAGCGUGCAGGAAGACGGCCCUCCGAGUUGUAAACUGCUUUUAGUUGGGAAUAAAACGGGGCUCGUGAGCCCCCUUGCAUGUACCAUCAGAAAAAGGACCGGCUAAUUCCGUGCCAGCAGCCGCGGUAAUACGGAAGGUCCGGGCGUUAUCCGGAUUUAUUGGGUUUAAAGGGAGCGCAGGCGGACCUUUAAGUCAGCUGUGAAAUACGGCGGCUCAACCGUCGAACUGCAGUUGAUACUGGAGGUCUUGAGUGCACACAGGGAUGCUGGAAUUCAUGGUGUAGCGGUGAAAUGCUCAGAUAUCAUGAAGAACUCCGAUCGCGAAGGCAGGCAUCCGGGGUGCAACUGACGCUGAGGCUCGAAAGUGCGGGUAUCAAACAGGAUUAGAUACCCUGGUAGUCCGCACAGUAAACGAUGAAUACUCGCGGUUUGCGAUACAGUGUAAGCCGCCAAGCGAAAGCGUUAAGUAUUCCACCUGGGGAGUACGCCGGCAACGGUGCAACUCAAAUGAAUUGAC
RNAcentral lists this ribosomal RNA (922 nucleotides) under uncultured Bacteroidota bacterium. Its description in RNAcentral is "bacterial SSU rRNA". It matches the Rfam family "Bacterial small subunit ribosomal RNA", at positions 1 to 914 of the family's 1533-position model. The record is from RNAcentral. Lineage: Bacteria; Pseudomonadati; Bacteroidota.